This 501-nucleotide ribosomal RNA is filed under the name uncultured bacterium. RNAcentral describes it as "partial 16S ribosomal RNA". It matches the Rfam family "Bacterial small subunit ribosomal RNA", at positions 30 to 524 of the family's 1533-position model. The record is from RNAcentral.
AUUGAACGCUGGCGGCAUGCUUUACACAUGCAAGUCGAACGGUAACAGGGUGCUUGCACCGCUGACGAGUGGCGAACGGGUGAGUAAUACAUCGGAAUGUACCCAGUAAUGGGGGAUAACGCUUCGAAAGGAGUGCUAAUACCGCAUACGCCCUGAGGGGGAAAGUGGGGGACCGCAAGGCCUCACGUUAUUGGAGCAGCCGAUGGCUGAUUAGCUAGUUGGUGAGGUAAAGGCUCACCAAGGCGACGAUCAGUAGCGGGUCUUAGAGGACGAUCCGCCACACUGGAACUGAGACACGGUCCAGACUCCUACGGGAGGCAGCAGUGGGGAAUCUUGGACAAUGGGCGAAAGCCUGAUCCAGCAAUGCCGCGUGCGUGAAGAAGGCCUUCGGGUUGUAAAGCGCUUUUGUACAGAACGAAAAGGUUUCUACUAAUACUAGGAGCUCAUGACGGUACUGUAAGAAUAAGCACCGGCUAACUACGUGCCAGCCGCCGCGGUAAC